GACGAACGCUGGCGGCGUGCUUAACACAUGCCAGUCGAACGGAAAGGCCCUGCUUUUGUGGGUUUCUCGAUUGGCGAACGGGGGAGUAACACGUGAGGAACCUGCCCUUGACUGUGUGGUAACUUCAGGGAACUGGGGCUAAUACCGGAUAGGAGCUCCUGCUGCAUAGUGGUGGUUGGAAAGUUUCGGCGGUGGGGGAUGGACUCGCGGCUUAUCAGCUGGUUUGGGGGGUAGGGGCGGACCAGGGCUUUGACGGGUAGCCGGCCUGGGAGGGUGAACGGGCACAAUGGGACUGCGAUACGGCCCAGAAUCCUACCGGAGGCAGCAGUGGAGAAUAUUGCACAGUGGGCGGAAGCCUGAUGCAGCAACGCCGCGUGCGGGAUGACGGCCUUCGGGUUGUAAACCGCUUUCGCCUGUGACGAAGCGUGAGUGACGGUAAUGUGUCAAGAAGCACCGGCUAACUACGUG
RNAcentral lists this ribosomal RNA (468 nucleotides) under uncultured bacterium. Its description in RNAcentral is "partial 16S ribosomal RNA". It matches the Rfam family "Bacterial small subunit ribosomal RNA", at positions 28 to 507 of the family's 1533-position model. The record is from RNAcentral.